This 69-nucleotide transfer RNA is filed under the name Actinopyga lecanora. Its description in RNAcentral is "tRNA-Gly". The record is from RNAcentral. Lineage: Eukaryota; Metazoa; Echinodermata; Holothuroidea; Aspidochirotida; Holothuriidae.
ACGUUAUAAGUAUGGAAAUACACCUAACUUCCAAUUAGGAGACUAUAGUAAUGACCCUAUAAUAACGUA